This 373-nucleotide ribosomal RNA is filed under the name uncultured bacterium. RNAcentral describes it as "bacterial SSU rRNA". It matches the Rfam family "Bacterial small subunit ribosomal RNA", at positions 521 to 896 of the family's 1533-position model. The record is from RNAcentral.
UAAUACGGAGGGUGCAAGCGUUAUCCGGAAUCACUGGGUAUAAAGGGUGCGUAGGCGGCUUGUUAAGUCAGGAGUGAAAGGCCAUGGCUCAACUAUGGGAUUGCUUUUGAUACUGGCGAGCUUGGAUUAGGACGAGGUUGGCGGAAUGUGGCAAGUAGCGGUGAAAUGCAUAGAUAUGCCAUAGAAUACCGAUUGCGAAGGCAGCUGACUAGACCUAUAUUGACGCUGAGGCACGAAAGCGUGGGGAGCGAACAGGAUUAGAUACCCUGGUAGUCCACGCCCUAAACGAUGCUAACUCGAUGUUCGGCCGCAAGGUGGAGCAUCCAAGCAAAUGCGAUAAGUUAGCCACCUGGGGAGUACGCCCGCAAGGGUG